This 301-nucleotide ribosomal RNA is filed under the name uncultured bacterium. RNAcentral's name for it is "partial 16S ribosomal RNA". It matches the Rfam family "Bacterial small subunit ribosomal RNA", at positions 509 to 809 of the family's 1533-position model. The record is from RNAcentral.
CAGUCGCCGCGGUAAUCCGUAGGUGGCAAGCGUUGUCCGGAAUUAUUGGGCGUAAAGCGCGCGCAGGUGGUUUAAUAAGUCUGAUGUGAAAGCCCACGGCUCAACUAUGGAGGGUCAUUGGAAACUGUUAAACUUGAGUGCAGGAGAGGAAAGUAGAAUUCCUAGUGUAGCGGUGAAAUGCGUAGAGAUUAGGAGGAACACCAGUGGCGAAGGCGGCUUUUUGGCCUGUAACUGACACUGAGGCACGAAAGCGUGGGGAGCAAACAGGAUUAGAUACCCCCGUAGUCCCUGUCUCUUAUAA